AAGUCGUAACAAGGUCUCCGUAGGUGAACCUGCGGAGGGAUCAUUAACUUGUGAUGAUGAAUUUAUUCAUCUAUCAAACCAAACAAACAAAUCAACCCCGUGAAUUUGAGUAUUCAUUUACUCAUUACCAGCCCCGUAAUUGAACAACGUAACGGAGCAUUCAGUUGCUGACCAGUGGCGUGUCACCGUUUGGAAUGGCUUGCUUAACCGCUUGCCUGGUGUCGUUACCUCGUGUAGUAGAUUCGGACAAAUUUUUACAUUCUAUUAACAUAUUUCACCCAUUCGUACAAUCAUUGACUGAAACGAAAGGUGUUUUUUAACCGAAACGCCCUACCUUCGAAAUUAUUCGAAAUCUAAGCACAACUCUUAGCAACGGAUAUCUUGGUUCUCGUAACGAUGAAAAACGCAGC
This 410-nucleotide unclassified non-coding RNA is filed under the name fungal sp. RNAcentral describes it as "partial internal transcribed spacer region". The stretch from base 1 to 46 matches the Rfam family "Eukaryotic small subunit ribosomal RNA", at positions 1786 to 1831 of the family's 1831-position model. The record is from RNAcentral. Lineage: Eukaryota; Fungi.